This 72-nucleotide transfer RNA is filed under the name Ictidomys tridecemlineatus (thirteen-lined ground squirrel). Its description in RNAcentral is "Spermophilus tridecemlineatus (thirteen-lined ground squirrel) tRNA". It matches the Rfam family "tRNA". From Rfam's summary of the family: Transfer RNA (tRNA) molecules are approximately 80 nucleotides in length. Their secondary structure includes four short double-helical elements and three loops (D, anti-codon, and T loops). The record is from Rfam by way of RNAcentral. Lineage: Eukaryota; Metazoa; Chordata; Mammalia; Rodentia; Sciuridae.
GGGAUUGUGGCUCAGUGGUAGAGCACUUGCCUAGAAUGUACAAGGCCCUGGGUUCAAUCCUCAGCAAUACAU